AGACGUAGGGGGCGAGCGUUACUCGGAAUCACUGGGCGUAAAGCGCGCGCAGGCGGGCUGAUAAGUUGGAUGUGAAAGCCUACGGCUCAACCGUAGAACUGCAUCCAAAACUGUCAGUCUAGAGUGUGGGAGAGGAAGAUGGAAUUAGUUGUGUAGGGGUAAAAUCCGUAGAGAUAACUAGGAAUACCAAAAGCGAAGGCAAUCUUCUGGAACACUACUGACGCUGAGGCGCGAAGGCGUGGGGAGCAAACAGGAUUAGAAACCCUGGUAGUCC
Molecule: ribosomal RNA, 274 nt
Filed under: uncultured bacterium
Lineage: Bacteria
Description: partial 16S ribosomal RNA
Rfam family: Bacterial small subunit ribosomal RNA
Source: RNAcentral